CAACUUUUAUUUAUUUCCUUUUGUAGUUGUUACUUUAUCAUAUGGUACAAAAAUCAUUUAAAACAAUCAAUUUGUGUUGGCCCCAGUCUGCAGAUGACUUUCAAAAUGUAUACAUCAUUGAAAAAGUUCCAAAUUAUCUCCCUUUGGUGGAAAAAUGCCAUUUUGUGGCUCUAAAAUUGAAAUAUCUUUUUCAACUCAUCGG
RNAcentral lists this long non-coding RNA (202 nucleotides) under Mytilus galloprovincialis (Mediterranean mussel). The record is from RNAcentral. Lineage: Eukaryota; Metazoa; Mollusca; Bivalvia; Mytilida; Mytilidae.